RNAcentral lists this ribosomal RNA (531 nucleotides) under Nassarius cinctellus. RNAcentral's name for it is "partial 16S ribosomal RNA". It matches the Rfam family "Bacterial large subunit ribosomal RNA", at positions 1808 to 2603 of the family's 2925-position model. The record is from RNAcentral. Lineage: Eukaryota; Metazoa; Mollusca; Gastropoda; Neogastropoda; Nassariidae.
CAAAAACAUGGCUCCUUGAAACUUAUUAAUGAGGAGUCGGACCUGCCCAGUGAAUUUUCAACGGCCGCGGUACUCUGACCGUGCAAAGGUAGCAUAAUCAUUUGCCUUAUAAUUGAAGGCUAGUAUGAAUGGUUUGACAAGAAUGAAGCUGUCUCUUUAUAAUUUAAUAGAAUUUUAUUUAUAGGUGAAGAAGCCUAAAUAAAAUUAAAAGACAAGAAGACCCUAUCGAGCUUGAAAAAAGUUAACAGAAUCAAUUUAAUUAAUAUUUAUAAAAAAUUAUCUAUUAAACAUUUUAGUUGGGGCGACUAAGGAACAUAAAAAGCUUCCUUUACAAAUCAUAAAUAAAAUCAAACUAGAAUUGAUCCAAAACAUUUUGAUUAAAGGAAUUAGUUACCGUAGGGAUAACAGCAUUAUCUUUUUUAAGAGCUCAUAUCGAAAAAAAGGUUUGUGACCUCGAUGUUGGACCAGAAUAUCCUAAAGGUGCAGCAGUCUUUAAGGGUUGGUCUGUUCGACCAUUAAAAUUCUACGUGA